AGGGUGACAGGUGGUGCAUGGUUGCGUCAGCUCGUGUCGUGAGAUGUUGGGUUAAGUCCCGCAACGAGCGCAACCCUCGACCUUAGUUGCCAGCAUUCAGUUGGGCACUCUAAGGUGACUGCCGGCUAAAAGUCGGAGGAAGGUGGGGAUGACGUCAAAUCAUCAUGCCCCUUAUGACCUGGGCUACACACGUGCUACAAUGGGCGGUACAAAGGGUCGCGAACCCGCGAGGGGGAGCCAAUCCCAAAAAGCCGCUCUCAGUUCGGAUUGCAGGCUGCAACUCGCCUGCAUGAAGCCGGAAUCGCUAGUAAUCGCGGAUCGGCAUGCCGCGGUGAAUACGUUCCCGGGCCUU
Molecule: ribosomal RNA, 352 nt
Filed under: uncultured Anoxybacillus sp.
Lineage: Bacteria; Bacillati; Bacillota; Bacilli; Caryophanales; Anoxybacillaceae
Description: bacterial SSU rRNA
Rfam family: Bacterial small subunit ribosomal RNA
Source: RNAcentral